Molecule: ribosomal RNA, 253 nt
Filed under: uncultured bacterium
Lineage: Bacteria
Description: partial 16S ribosomal RNA
Rfam family: Bacterial small subunit ribosomal RNA
Source: RNAcentral
UACAGAGGUGGCAAGCGUUGUUCGGAAUUACUGGGCGUAAAGGGCGCGUAGGCGGCCUUGUAAGUCUCGUGUGAAAGCCCUCGGCUUAACUGAGGAUCUGCACGGGAUACUGUAAGGCUCGAGUUCGGGAGAGGAAAGCGGAAUUCCGGGUGUAGCGGUGAAAUGCGUAGAUAUCCGGAGGAACACCAGUGGCGAAGGCGGCUUUCUGGACCGACACUGACGCUGAGGCGCGAAAGCUAGGGGAGCAAACGGG